Molecule: small nucleolar RNA, 145 nt
Organism: Pistacia vera
Lineage: Eukaryota; Viridiplantae; Streptophyta; Magnoliopsida; Sapindales; Anacardiaceae
Product: small nucleolar RNA Z247
Exons: 1
Source: RefSeq, a predicted model, not a curated record
ACUGUUGAUGAUGAGGACCUGAUAUCUUAUGUUGUUGGUGGUCUUAAUCCUGCUUAUCACCCAUUCAUUACCUCCCUUAAUUUUGCAACUUGAGACUCAUCAAUCACCUUUGAUGAUUUUCAAACUGAGUUGCUGAAUUAUGAAC